UAAAUAAGGUGCAAAUUGGAUACCACAAGACUGUCUAAUGGCCUUCCAUUUCAUUUUAGUCUGGCUCCUGUAUAAAACUGAGGUUGCAGUCCUGAAGGUAAUAAAGGUAAUAAUAUCGACUUAAUUUCCAGUAUGGGAGCAGUACUGUGGAUUUCAUGAGCUGGAUGCUCCUAUCCUCAGGUAAAGAGCCCAGACCUUGGUAACUGAACCUCCCUGGUGAACGAGCACUCAGCCCCUCACCCACAUCAUGGUAAAUACUCCUAUGCUGUGAAUCCAUUGGUAAGGAUUAAAAAAAAAACAAACUAAUACAAGUCUGAAAACAAUCACAGAUCAUUAAUGGGUUUAUUGUCCUUUUUAUUAGUGGACAUUAAUCAACAGCAUGCUGUCCUAGUCCUAACAUUUGCAUGUGUGCCUGUAGCAAUGUUAAUGGUUUGCCUUUCAGGGAACUGGAAUACCCCGAGAAUGGGUGUUUUGUACCUAAACUGGGAAAACAGAAUGCAAGGGAACACGAUGCUUUACAAGUUAACAGUUCAUUUAGUCUGGGAUUUUCAAUAAUUCCUCUGAUUAGCACACUAAUGAGGUAGAGGGAAAAGCAAGGUUCAGAGUUAAAAAUGUGAUGUAGCAGAUUCAAGGUGAUGACAAAGACAUUAUUUUCAGGAAAAAAGGAUUCAAGGUAUGCUUUCAGCAAGCAAGAAGUUUAAUAACUCAAAAUACUUUUUCAUUUUCAGCAGCCUCUGCUCUAUGGAUCACUGUCUGACUUUUCAACAAGGGAAAAUCAAGCAAUGAAUUUAUUUCUCAAAACUAAGGAAGAUUUUACUUGAGAUAUGAUAUUUAAAUUAUAUUAAAACAUGAAUAAAUAGUAGAUUCUCUUUAAUAUCAUAUACUGAUGAUGUUUCUAGAAAAACCCUAAAAUAUACAACAAGGAAUUUGCUUUCAGAUAGACACUAAAAGCAAGCUGCCUAGUUUUCAGCUGGUACAAAUCUGUGCUGCUCCACUGCUGUCCAUGAAGCUGCACUGUUUUACACCAGGAUCUGGCCCAAAAACCUUCAUCCCUGAAUAAUUCACGAGGACAGAAGUGAUGGGAAAACCAGGCUCUAACCAGUUUGAUGGAGGAAGAAUACCAAAAGGUGCAAAAAGACUGAAACCAGGACAUGUUCAUCCUUAAGAUUUAUGCAUUUUGAAAACAACUCAGAAGGUGGCAAGAAGGCAGAGCCUGGAGAAUCAAAGCAAAAAGCAAACCAGCAGGCAACGAAAGUCAGCAACAAGACAGAAAUGUCACAUCCUACAAAACCCAGUUCUAAACCUGUAGUAUUUUCAUCCAUUUACUGUCUUUGGACUAAACACCAACACUGAUGCUUAAACAAAAAUUCAAGUGUUCCUUGGUAAACAGUGUUCACGCAGGUUAUGCCACUUUACUAUGACAGGUAAAGUUAAAGAGUAAAUUUACAGCAUUGAUCAGGACUCUCUCAUGUCCCACAUCCUGAGCUAAUACAGCCCAGAGCACCCUUAAUUUAAAAAAUAUAUGGGAUCCACUACUUAUCCUGAAGUAAGACUAACCACACUGUGCAACAAUGCAAGCACCUUUCUGGGGACCUGAAGCUGGUUGACAAAUACUUGAUCUCACACACAAUUUGGUCCUAGUUAUUUCCAAAGUUAUGACUCCCCUACAGAAUGCUUAACUUUGGCAUGGAGCCUGAUUCUGACAUUUAUCUCGUGAUCCCAUGAUCAAACAAGUCUGCGUGCAAACCUCGGUGCACUCAGAGGUUGAGGCAUAAUUUGCUUAAUUUUUUUAAUACUUAAAUGUAAUUCCCAAGAUGCUGGAAUGAAUCAUUUCUAUGUCUGCCUUUAAUAUAAAUCAAAUUUAGGCAGCUGUGCAUUUUCAGAUCUAAACCACCCGUUUGCUUUCAUGCACAUUUGAGUUAUGAUCUCAUUUGCAGUGACAGAAAAGAAAGGUUGAAUAAUCUAAUUUAACCAAGUAUCAGAGACUGAAAAUUCCUUUGCAAAGAGUCUACUUAAUAACUGCCAUCUAAUUCAUCUCAGGUAUUCAACUUUUAUCUGGCACACAGAUUUUAAGCAUAUGGGAGCCACAUGCAAAGCAUAAUUUAAUAGUGGGCUGCAUCUCAACACCAUGUGAGUCCGGGAAGUGCCACACCCAACUACCACCAUCAGCCUCAUCAAUUAUUGUGGACCCUGGAUAAACUUUGCAUUUCAUUAACAGGAUUCUUCGUGGCUGCAAAUGCUGCCUGCUUAUGGUACCUACCAAUAGCAGUACCACAAUGAGGUAAGUUUUGACCUUGCCUUCCUCAAAACAUUUGGCAAAACCACUGUCUUCACAUUCCUCUUUUUCUUGAACUUUUUCCCCACACUCCCCCCCCAUAGAAAAUGCUUCCAAGUACUGGGGGCAGAUGGUGGCUCUCUGGAAUAACAACCUCACCUUAUCCAAGGUUUUCUGAGUCAACAGAAAAGCCUCUACCGGUUUUAAGCACCUCUGGGCCAGCCCUGAAGGUGUAGCCAGGUACUAGGAAUGGAAUUUUUUCACUAAUCAGCUUCCUAGAGUCAAGGAUCACACGCACUUGGGCAUGCCUGUGGUCAACUUGCCUUCCACUUAAGUGUGGGAAAACGCUGCCCUGAAAGGCUGUUUACAGCCUGUGAUUGAGGCACAACAGCAAAUAGCACCCCUGGAUGAACCUGGGAGGACAGCCACGCGUGGAGGAGGGUGUGAAAACAACAAAUUGUUAUGUUUCUGUAAAAAAACACCAAAAAGUUUGCGGUGCAUAAAAUAAUAGAGAAACAGUAUUUUGAAAAAUCAGCUAUAGCCAUCACUCUAAAACUCUAGCAAACCUUGCCCUUGUUAUUAUCAUUAUUAUCUCCUAAACCCACCAGAGUUGCACCUGGCACUUUACAGGGAGAACAGUAACAAAAGAACUUUCCUGAGAGCAUUAGGAUCAAAGCACUUAGCACAGAUUUAAGGGCUUUAUGUUUAUUGCAUGAUUAGUGUUGUUAACAUGCCAAGAACUGGAGACUGGCAUGCUGCUGAUAUUUUCAAAUAAAUAUACUGCCUAGUUUAAAUAAAUUCAAGAAAAAAGGUUUAAAUAAAUACAGCAGAACUAUUUCCAUAUCAACUGUUUCCAUAAAGGUCAGAAUGCAAUGCUAAACAUCUGCAAUGACUUGCUCUGCUCUGCUUGUGUUUUUGUGCCCACAAAAAAUUUGUUUUCUGUUUCAGAGUUUAGGAGAUGAUCAUUCUGUUUCACCAAGUGUGUGCAAAUUGCUUUAAAAUAGCCCCUUCUGCAUCUCCUGAUCUCAUAGCUUGGGAGAUGAGGGUACAUCUUGUUCAUUAAGACCUCUCUAAAAUAGAAAGGCUGCUACUUGAUGCAUAGGGCUGGCAGCAGGAAGAAAACCAGAAUAUGGUCAAAAUCUCUUAAAAUUUUGUCCAAAAUUUCUGGUGAAUUUCUGGCAGUGGGGUCAGUUCAGCACCAAGAGGACUCUAGAGCCCUGGGCACAAAUGAACAGAUUUUGGCAAGAAAAAGGUACCACAGAGCAGUCAAGAAGAAAUGGAACCACUGCUCCUUGUAAGCUUUGUGCAUGGAAGGGGCAGCUCCACAAAGGGCAGAAGGGCAUAUCCCAAGCAAGAACCUGGGAACAGUGUCCCCCAGAAGUGAAAAGUUGCAGAAAAUGCUGUCAGACCACUUUUCAGACCCACCGUGCAUCAGCAGACAACGACUUGGGAGGUAUUUAAGACAAUGAAUGCAAGCUGUGGAGAUCACCCAAUGAAUUCCCAAAGAUAGGAAUGAUAGCUCAGCAAGGGCAGGGCUGGGAAGGAUUAGACUGAAAAUGGCUUUAUCAGAUUCUGCCAGGAGCAACUUUUCAGAGGAAAUUAAAAUCAAUCCUUGUAGAUUUAGACUGCCCCACAUUAAGGAUUUUACGGAAAGUCAGCAGCUGUAAGUAAGCCCUGGUUCAUCCUUUCCAACAAUCUGAGACAAAAUGUGUUGGAUGAAAUAAAGCAGAAAAGCAACAGAGCCCUCCAAUGCUUUACACCCAUUUUCCAAGAGGGCUGUGUUCCUGGAUGCCAGCAAACUUCUCCAACUACAAGCAAACCCAACAAUGUACCCUCAUAGCUAUCCUUCAGCAGCCUAUUAGUCUGUAUCACCUUUUACUGCCACCACCACUGCUGCUGUCAGAUACUGAAACCAUAUUCUGGUGACUUCUGUACCUCUGAAAUCUCUGAGCACAAAGGACAUCAACAGACACAUCACCAAUGAAAGCCUGGAUCCUUCCUCACCAGCUGAACCUCCACCAGGAAUCUUAAAAUGUUGGAACCUUUGUGAGCUGUUCAGCAACAGGGGCUCUGUGGCUUCACAACAGCAAGGUGUUUCAGCAGGUAAUCCCCUUGGCUUCAGUGAGACAGGCUGAAAGCAAGGCUGAAACACUUUAGGAGAUGUUUAGGAAAUGUUUAUUGCUGCUCUGAAGCCCUAUUUCUCUGACCAAUGUGUUUUAUCAUGGUCUUGUGCCCAUCUGCAGUGGCAUGGUGAGAAAUUCCUAAAGCUGGGUGGGGAUACAAGCAGGGCAGGAGUCACCCAGCUUGGCCUUCCUUUCCUCACAAACUAAGGAGCCAUGACUUAAGACACAAGGGUGCUGAGCGUGUAUGGUCAUGGUAAUUUUAGCUGGUGCAUGGCCAAAAAGUACAUGUGAUUUUUGUACAUUUAAAAGGAAGAGGGAUCUCUACAUUUAAGGGAGGGCAAAUGGACCAGAGACCUGAACAAAACACACCAAAGCACUGCACUGCAGUUUUGAAAGAGGCUUUAGAAAUGUUUCAUCCAAACUGAUUCCUCAGAGAAAUGAGGUGAUUGAAAAAAAAGGCAUGAACACUAGGGAUUUUGGAAUGUAUAGUCUGAAUGUGUUUGUGAGCAUUAUCCAGAGCCCCUGUGGAAGUGUUCUGAGGAGGCCUCUUGGAGCUGGAGCACAGUGCCCAGUCUGAACAGGAGCAGGCUCUGCCCCAGUAUUCCCAAGGAGCCCUCAUUGCCCUGGGCAUGGGCAAGAGGGAACUUCCAUGCUGGCCUGCCCUGUCUCUGCAGUGCCCACAAGGUCUCCAUUCUCCAGAGGCACAAGAGCUUCCCAAGUCAUUACUGCAAAAGGGAGAAAUCUUCUAAAAAAAAAAAAAAAAUCACUACAUCUUCACCUUUCUACUACCAAACUCAGCUGCAGGGACUGGAUCUGAGCAACAGCAAUGAUUGCAGUGUGGAAUAUAGAGUGUGAAUCUGGAAAAUAAGCAAAACUGCAGGCAGACCUCCCAAAAACCCAGCUCAGGGAUCUGCCUGAAGAUGCUGCAUUUCACAGCUCAUCCCUGAAAGUGUGUUACUGCUUUAAUGUGUCCCUUGCAGUCUCAUGCAUUCCUGUACUCAGAGCCAGUGCUUUGGGAGACAAAUAUUCCAAGCAAUUGUCCUUUUAUUUAUUGCUUUAUUUCUCCUGUGUGGGCAUGUGCAGAUGUGCAGGAGAUCUGCAGCCAGGGAUGGGCCACCCAUAACACAAGGACUGAAGCCAGCCAUUGCUGAACAGCAGCCUCACCACUUCUUGUUUGAGUUUAGGCCUAGAAAAUGGCUAUUUCAUUGAGAAAAUGUGUAAGGGAGGAGGUGUAAAAAGGCAACCACAGAGGCAUGCCAAAUGCAGCCAAACAGCCACUGCACUGUGGGAGGAAAGAGACUGCUCUGAGUGGGAAAGUACACUGAGGAACUUGGGGAGAAGAUGCACUGUCUGGGGGCAAAGGGAUGAGAAGAUUUUAAAGAUAUCUGAAAAUAACAUUUGUGAGUCUGAACACUGGUCCAGCUCCUGCCUGUCCUGGCAGUGACAACAGGAGAGGCUGUUUAAGGACAGCAGAUGAGAUUCUCUGCAGCUCCUUUCCCUCGUCCUUGUUCUGCAUUUAGGCACCAGAUUAGGGAGGUCAGAAGGGACAUUGCUGACCAGUCCUUUUACUUCUCCAUCACACUAAAAGGUCAUGAGGGGUGUAAAGACCAAUGGGGGCUUGCAAGGAGGAGAGUGGAUUGCAAGAGCUGAGCUUUAAGUUGCAGGAAAUCAGUCCUGUGAGGAGUUGGUCCAGGAAUCACUAAGGUGCUGGCUCAGUGUCAAGCACACAGUGCCCCAGGGUGGUCCCUCACCUGCAGGGUGUAGCUGAUGGGCUUCCAUGGUUGUUUUCCUGCUAAUGGAGCAUCAACACCAGCAAAGAGGAGACUGAGAACUGAUUACAAAAGUAUACUUACACAGUUCUCCUUUUUCAAACAGAAACAGAAGGAGUAAUGAAAGAUGGUGAUAAUAGGCAAAAAAUAAAAAUGGAAAGGAAAACAAAAAUUGGAGAUUUUAGGGUGAAAAGAGAUGAAAAAAAUGAGGUGACUCUACUGGGCAGCUGGGUACCACUGGCUUGCCCAGCUGUGAUUGCCUUGGAGCCACCAACUGUGAGCACUGAGGUGAGGAUGCAUGAGCAUCCAUCACCACUGCCUCAGAGGAGCAACAGGCUGAGACUCUUCAAACAAAACCCCAAGAGUAGUUCAGCAAUGCUGCUGUCACAGCAAAUUCAUUUUCUGCAGAGGAGAAGAAGGGGACAGCAGAGUUAUAUACACUUGCAACCAAAUCUGUCCCUGGCUAUCACUUCUGCCUUAGCAAGACCUGACAUCCUGCCUGCUAUGAACAUUAUCAGAACAAUGACACAGAGAAUAUUGCUGUUGAGCAGCCUAUAUUCAGCCAGCUGCACAGGGAAGGCUUUUUGCAAACAACAUGUAGAGGCUUUCAAAGAAUUAAAUACAAAUAACCCAAAGUUUCCACUGACACCAACUUUAAGAUUAAAAUUCCAGAGUGCCAGCUGCCUACACAGAUGUUGGCCAGGCAGUUUUUCCACUUCCCAGUUCAGAGCUCCUUUGCUGCUCUAUCCCUGUGUGCAGCCAAAGAGCCCUGCAAAGCCAUCAAUGCCACCAGCUUCCUGCCAAGGGAAACCAAUGCUGUUCUAGCCCACACCUGAACUCACAUCCACAAUGAGAGAGCUUAGAACUCAGCUGGUUAAUGCUCUAAUUACUGGACAGUAAGCUUCUGAGUCUUCAUUAGAGCAAAAGGCCCUCAAAGACUCUGAUACCAGCACUUCUGCCUACAGGAUACAGAGCUGGGAAGCAUUGAGAGCUACACAACCACUGCACCAGCAGCUUGAACUUCAGAUACCCAAGACUGACAAGUACCUGACAAGGCAGACUACUUUUAAAAUUAUAAUACUUUUUUGGAAAAACACCCAAACAAAUCCCAAAUAAAUCUAAACCUCACCCACCCAUUUUCCAGAGUGUCAAGUCAAAUGAUCAUUGCCCUGUGCAGUGAAACCCAAAUGACUCACCCAACUGAAACAGGGUGCUGUGAGAUGGAAUUGUUUUUACCUUAUCUGUGACCAUUUCCUAACUCAGAACGAGAAGCCCACAACAAGGUAAUUCAGCAUUAUUCCUAAAUUGUAUCAGGAUACAGCUGGAUAUUAAGGCAAACUCAAAAUAUCAGAGAUUAUUGCACAGAGCAAAUCUGCUCCAAGACAGGGGCUUUAAGGGAGGUUAUGCCUAUAUUUUAUAUAUGUGGUAUAUAUAUGGGCAUAUUUAUUAAAACCAAACUUUGGGUUUUAAGUGAAGCAAUGGAUAAUUCUUGUUGGGAACACCUCCCUUAUUCUGGAGAACAUGGCAAGAUUUCCUCUCGGGAUUUGAGAGUGUGUAGGGAGAUCUGCAUUCAUACCAUAAAGCAUUCAGAGGAGAAAAAACACUCUCUGUAUUCUGGUGACAGUCAGUGCACGUUUUCUAAAGCAUGGUUUUAAUAAGAAGGUCAGGUCUAUCACAUGGUGUACAAUUCUGCAGUGGGUAAAUACAUGUUCUUAAAUAAGCAAGGGAAUAAAAGUGUCACCUCCUCUUAGCCCUCUUUGAACAUACAUUAAAAUGACAAGACAUCUCACCAGUCUCUUGUUGUAAAAUUAUCAUUUACACAUACAAUCUGUUUAUCCAUUUAAUUAUCUCUUCCAAACCUGGAUUUAACCAGCCAGAUAAAGAUCACUUGUUUGCUGUAUAAAAUCCCAGUGGAUUUUUGCCCAAGGACUGCAGGUUGGGUGCUUCAGACUCUCUCUGCUUUAAUUUGGAUGUAUUUUAUAGUACUAAUUUCACUGAAAUUUGAGUAAUGCUAAGCCAGUCAGAUGAUUGCAAUAAAUUAGUUAUCCAAACUUUGUAAUUCAUACACCUUUAACUGUGUUUGUUUAAUCAUUGAGAAUGACAAUUUCUGUUGGAGAACAAAGCAAGUAAAAGAAAAGCCAGAUAAAAGAUGGAACAUUGCAGAACCGUUUCAGAAAAUUUAGCAAAAGUUACCAAAACUAAGUAUAUGAUCUGAAU
This is a long non-coding RNA of Passer domesticus (house sparrow), 8384 nucleotides long. RefSeq lists it as uncharacterized. NCBI's taxonomy places the organism in Eukaryota, Metazoa, Chordata, Aves, Passeriformes, Passeridae. The transcript is spliced from 4 exons. The record is from RefSeq and is a predicted model, not a curated record.